This is a non-coding RNA of Caretta caretta (loggerhead turtle), 742 nucleotides long. NCBI's taxonomy places the organism in Eukaryota, Metazoa, Chordata, Testudines, Cheloniidae. The record is from RefSeq and is a predicted model, not a curated record.
GGUAGUUCAUGGUAUUACAUUUUGUAUUUGGUCUAGUUUAUAGGCAUUAAGCCCUUGCACUGGUACAACUAGAAACAUUGGCUGAAGAAAGCCAUGGUAUUUAGGUUUCACUGUUACUGUUAAUUCACAAGAGGAAUAAGUGAUGUAGGUCUGUAUGUAAGAUUUCUGAUACUGUCUUUGUUCUACUUUCAGAUUUGAGAUUACAUCUAUGGAAGAAGAUUGUAAUUUAACCCAUUUUUAAAAGAAAAUUGAGUUUUAGAUACCUUUCUUGCUCUGCAUCUUGCUGUCUAUCCAGUGGUGAAGUCUUGAGAGCCCCAAUGCGAUGGCUGGGGAAGGAAUUUUCAACAACCAGGAAAAGAAAAAGAUGGAAAAAAGAGGAAAAAAAAAGAAAAAUAUCAAAAGAAAAUAUUGAAAAAAAAUCAAAUAUGGAUACAUUUGUCAGAGAUGGACAAUAUCCAGAACAAACCUUGUUGAAUUAGGGUUAAUUCCAUAAGAUUUAGGUUAAUACCUUUGGGGUUAAAACCAUUGUGUUAAAAAUGCAAUAAUAUAGAUGUUGUUGUGGCAUUGCAUGUACCUUUUCUAGUCGGGAGGGGGGAUGCUAAUGUACUUCCUCCAUCAUCAGCCUUUGAAGCCACCCUUCCCCUCUUCCCCCAGGGAGAUUUGCACAUACCUGCACCUUGUUUUUAAUAUGUCUUCUCUGUAAUGCUUUUAAACCUUCAGAAUAAAGGCUUACUUAGAAAGA